This 1308-nucleotide ribosomal RNA is filed under the name Grigoriora cheni. Its description in RNAcentral is "16S ribosomal RNA". The stretch from base 567 to 1308 matches the Rfam family "Archaeal large subunit ribosomal RNA", at positions 1423 to 2807 of the family's 2987-position model. Lineage: Eukaryota; Metazoa; Arthropoda; Insecta; Orthoptera; Tettigoniidae. The record is from RNAcentral.
AAAGGUAAUUAUUAAUAGUUUAAAUUGUUUUAUUUUAUUUUAAUUAAAGUAAUUUUAUUAAAGUUGAUUUUAGUAUGUUUUACAGAAAUAAUAUAAUUAUUUAUAGUGUAGUAGUAUUGUGGAAGAAUUAUGAAAUAUUUGAAAAAUUAAUUUUUUAGGAAGUAGAUUAUUAGUUGUACCUUGUGUAUCAGGGUUUAUCAAUAAUUUUUUAAGGAAUAUUAUAAUUCUCGAGUUGAAAAGAGCUAAUAUAAUUUGCGAGUUAAUGUAAUAUAUUUAUUAGUAAUGUUAUAUUAGUAAUGAAACGUUAAUCGUUUUUUAAGAUAUCUAGUUUUCUAAGAAAUGAAUUUAAUUCAGUUUAGAAUUAGUAAUUGUUUUAAUCUGAUAAGUGAUUAUUUAUUCUAGAAAAUGGUUUGGGGGAUAAGCUUUAAAUCAUACAUUAUAAUUUAUGAAAAAUAUAUAGAAGUGUAGGCUUUAAAUUAGCUAUCUAUUUAAUAAUGUUAUAAAUUAUUUUGUGGAAAUAUGAUUUUAUAAAAGGUUUAAUUUGUAUAUUAGAAUGAUUUAAAUAAUGAAGAUUUAUUUGAAAUAAUGAUAAAAUUAGUAUAAUUGGAUGUAAAAAUAUUUAAUUUAUAUAAUUUAUAUUAAGGAAUUAGGCAAAAAUAAUGUUCGCCUGUUUAACAAAAACAUGUCUUUUAGUGAAUAAUUUAAAGUCGGGCCUGCCCACUGAUAUAAUUGAAGGGCCGCGGUAUUUUGACCGUGCAAAGGUAGCAUAAUCAUUAGUUUUUUAAUUGAAGGCUAGAAUGAAUGGUUUGACGAAGCAUUAACUGUCUCAGUAUAAUAAAUAGAAUUUAACUUUUAAGUUAAAAGGCUUAAAUAAAAAUGAGGGACGAGAAGACCCUAUAGAGCUUUAUAUAUUAUAUAAUAAUUUGUUGUAGAAUGUUAAGAGUGUUUAUAGAAAUAUAUUGUGUUGGGGUGACAUAAAGAUUAGAUAAACUCUUUAUAUAAGAUACAUUGAUGUAUGAAUGAUUGAUCCAUUAUUAUUGAUUGUAAGAUAAAGUUACCUUAGGGAUAACAGCGUAAUUUUUUUUAAGAGUUCAUAUCAACAAAAAAGAUUGCGACCUCGAUGUUGGAUUAAGGAAUAUAAUUAGGUGUAGAAGUUUAAAUUAUAGGUCUGUUCGACCUUUAAAUCCUUACAUGAUCUGAGUUCAAACCGGUGUAAGCCAGGUUGGUUUCUAUCUUUAUUUAUGAAGAAUAUUUUAGUACGAAAGGACCAAAUAUUUGAAAUAAUUUUAAUUUUAAUGAUUAUUAAUA